RNAcentral lists this ribosomal RNA (425 nucleotides) under uncultured bacterium. RNAcentral's name for it is "partial 16S ribosomal RNA". It matches the Rfam family "Bacterial small subunit ribosomal RNA", at positions 354 to 796 of the family's 1533-position model. The record is from RNAcentral.
GUGGGGAAUCUUGCGCAAUGGGCGAAAGCCUGACGCAGCCAUGCCGCGUGAAUGAUGAAGGUCUUAGGAUUGUAAAAUUCUUUCACCGGGGACGAUAAUGACGGUACCCGGAGAAGAAGCUCCGGCUAACUUCGUGCCAGCAGCCGCGGUAAUACGAAGGGGGCUAGUGUUGCUCGGAAUUACUGGGCGUAAAGGGCGCGUAGGCGGACAGCUUAGUCAGAGGUGAAAGCCCAGGGCUCAACCUUGGAAUUGCCUUUGAUACUGGCUGUCUUGAGUUUGGGAGAGGUGAGUGGAACUCCGAGUGUAGAGGUGAAAUUCGUAGAUAUUCGGAAGAACACCAGUGGCGAAGGCGACUACCUGGACUGAUACUGACACUGAGGUGCGAAAGCGUGGGGAGCAAACAGGAUUAGAAACCCGGGUAGUCC